Molecule: ribosomal RNA, 699 nt
Filed under: uncultured bacterium
Lineage: Bacteria
Description: bacterial SSU rRNA
Rfam family: Bacterial small subunit ribosomal RNA
Source: RNAcentral
AGAGUUUGAUCCUGGCUCAGAACGAACGCUGGCGGCGUGCCUAACACAUGCAAGUCGAACGAGAAAGCGGGCUUCGGUCCGUUAGUAGAGUGGCAGACGGGUGAGUAACACGUGGGUAACCUGUCCGGAGGCGGGGGAUAACCCUUCGAAAGGGGGGCUAAUACCGCAUAACAUUCAUCAGACUUCGGUUUGGCGAAUCAAAGCUUGCCUCUACAUGUAAGCAAGCACCACCGGAGGGGCCCGCGGCCCAUUAGCUUGUUGGUGAGGUAACGGCUCACCAAGGCUACGAUGGGUAGCCGGCCUGAGAGGGCGAUCGGCCACACUGGAACUGAGACACGGUCCAGACUCCUACGGGAGGCAGCAGUGAGGAGUCUUGCGCAAUGGGGGAAACCCUGACGCAGCGACGCCGCGUGGAGGACGAAGGCCUUCGGGUCGUAAACUCCUGUCAAGUGGGACGAAUCCGGGAAGAUGAAUAAGCUUUUCGGUUGACGGUACCACUGGAGGAAGCCCCGGCUAACUCCGUGCCAGCAGCCGCGGUAAUACGGAGGGGGCUAGCGUUGUUCGGAAUUAUUGGGCGUAAAGGGCGCGUAGGCGGCCUGGUAAGUCGGACGUGAAAUCCCGCGGCUCAACCGCGGAAUUGCGCUCGAAACUGCCAGGCUUGAGUCCCGGAGAGGGUGGCGGAAUUCCCAGUGUAGCGGU